AGCCUUAUGUAUUUAAUAUAAGGUUUUUUCUGCCCGGUGAUAGUUUAACGGCCGCAGUNCCCUGACUGUGCUAAGGUAGCAUAAUAAAUUGACUUUUAAUUGAAGUCUGGUAUGAAUGGAAGAAUGGGGGGGGGCUAUCUUAAUAGAAUUUUAUUAAAGUUACUUAAAAGGUGAAAAUACCUUUAAUAUAUGAUUAAAGACGAGAAGACCCUUAGAAUUUUAAUUUUUUUAGUUUAAAACUAUAAUAUUUUUGUUGGGGUGACAGAGUAGAAUUCGAGAACCUACUUAUAUAGAUUAGUCGGGCUAGCCAGGGAAGAAAAAAUUACCUAAGGGAUAACAGCAUAAUUUUUUUUUUAGAUUGUGACCUCGAUGUUGGACUAGGAACUUUAUAAUAAGAAAUUAAUAGAGAGGGUUCUGUUCGAACUUGUACUCCU
This 434-nucleotide ribosomal RNA is filed under the name Tayloria sp. 'Uluguru'. RNAcentral's name for it is "partial 16S ribosomal RNA". It matches the Rfam family "Bacterial large subunit ribosomal RNA", at positions 1817 to 2596 of the family's 2925-position model. The record is from RNAcentral. Lineage: Eukaryota; Metazoa; Mollusca; Gastropoda; Stylommatophora; Streptaxidae.